Molecule: ribosomal RNA, 1508 nt
Filed under: metagenome
Description: bacterial SSU rRNA
Rfam family: Bacterial small subunit ribosomal RNA
Source: RNAcentral
AGGGUUUGAUCCUGGCUCAGAACGAACGUUGGCGGCGUGGAUUAGGCAUGCAAGUCGAACGAAUCCCUUGGGGGUAACUCUGAGGGGGAAGUGGCGAAAGGGGCAGUAAGGCAUGGGUAACUUGCCCCGGGGACUGGGAUAGCCUACCUAACGGAAGGGUAAUACCGGGCGCCGUAUUCGGGGGCAUCCUCUGAAUACGAAACGAGUUUCGCCCCGGGAGAGGCUCAUGUGGUAUUAGCUUGUUGGUGAGGUAACGGCUCACCAAGGCCAAGAUGCCUAGCGGGUGUGAGAGCACGACCCGCGCCACUGGCACUGUGACACUGGCCAGACUCCUACGGGAGGCUGCAGUCGAGGAUCUUCGGCAAUGGGCGCAAGCCUGACCGAGCGACGCCGCGUGCGCGAUGAAGGCCUUCGGGUUGUAAAGCGCUGUCGAGGGGGAGGAAGGCCCGCAAGGGCUUGACCAAUCCCUGGAGGAAGCACGGGCUAAGUUCGUGCCAGCAGCCGCGGUAAGACGAACCGUGCGAACGUUGUUCGGACUCACUGGGCUUAAAGGGCGCGUAGGCGGGCUGUCAAGUCAGGGGUGAAAUCUUUCAGCUUAACUGGAAAAGUGCCUUUGAUACUGACAGUCUCGAGGGAGAUAGGGGCAUGCGGAACUUCCGGUGGAGCGGUGAAAUGCGUAGAUAUCGGAAGGAACGCCGGUGGCGAAAGCGGCGUGCUGGAUCUCUUCUGACGCUGAGGCGCGAAAGCCAGGGGAGCAAACGGGAUUAGAUACCCCGGUAGUCCUGGCCCUAAACGAUGGGUACUAGGUAGUGGCCUGAACAUGGGGUCACUGCCGAAGCAAAAGUAUUAAGUACCCCGCCUGGGGAGUAUGGUCGCAAGGCUGAAACUCAAAGGAAUUGACGGGGGCUCACACAAGCGGUGGAGCAUGUGGCUUAAUUCGAGUCUACGCGAAGAACCUUAUCCUGGGCUUGACAUGUCGCAAGAGCUAGUGAGUAGCUUGGCGGAAACGUCAGGCGAACGGUAUCCAGUCCGUGAGCUAGUACAGGUGCUGCAUGGCUGUCGUCAGCUCGUGUCGUGAGAUGUUGGGUUAAGUCCCGUAACGAGCGAAACCCUUGUUUCCAGUUGCCAGCGAGUAAAGUCGGGGACUCUGGAAAGACUGCCGGUGUUAAACCGGAGGAAGGUGGGGAUGACGUCAAGUCCUCAUGGCCUUUAUGCCCAGGGCUGCACACGUGCUACAAUGGCGUGGACAAAGGGACGCAAACCCGCGAGGGGGAGCAAAUCCCAAAAAGCACGCCCCAGUUCAGAUUGAAGGCUGCAACUCGCCUUCAUGAAGUUGGACUCGCUAGUAAUCGCGGGUCAGCAACACCGCGGUGAAUGUGUUCCUGAGCCUUGUACACACCGCCCGUCAAGCCACGAAAGAUCGGGGGGGGCCAAGUGGCCGUGCUAACCCGCAAGGGAGGCAAGCUCCUAACCCUCAACGGUCAAUUGGGACUAAGUCGUAACAAGGU